AACGAACGCUGGCGGCAGGCUUAACACAUGCAAGUCGAACGGGCGCAGCAAUGCGUCAGUGGCAGACGGGUGAGUAACACGUGGGAACCUUCCUUAAGGUACGGGACAACUCAGGGAAACUUGAGCUAAUACCGUAUACGUCCGUGAGGAGAAAGAUUUAUCGCCUUUAGACGGGCCCGCGUCGGAUUAGCUAGUUGGUGGGGUAACGGCCUACCAAGGCGACGAUCCGUAGCUGAUCUGAGAGGAUGAUCAGCCACACUGGGACUGAGACACGGCCCAGACUCCUACGGGAGGCAGCAGUGGGGAAUCUUGGACAAUGGGCGCAAGCCUGAUCCAGCCAUGCCGCGUGAGUGAAGAAGGCCUUAGGGUUGUAAAGCUCUUUUACCAGGGACGAUAAUGACGGUACCUGGAGAAUAAGCCCCGG
RNAcentral lists this ribosomal RNA (424 nucleotides) under uncultured bacterium. Its description in RNAcentral is "bacterial SSU rRNA". It matches the Rfam family "Bacterial small subunit ribosomal RNA", at positions 29 to 496 of the family's 1533-position model. The record is from RNAcentral.